Molecule: ribosomal RNA, 254 nt
Filed under: uncultured bacterium
Lineage: Bacteria
Description: partial 16S ribosomal RNA
Rfam family: Bacterial small subunit ribosomal RNA
Source: RNAcentral
UACGUAGGGGCCUAGCGUUGUCCGGAAUUAUUGGGCGUAAAGAGCUCGUAGGCGGUUCGGCAAGUCGGAUGUGAAAUCUCCACGCUUAACGUGGAGGGGCCAUUCGAAACUGCUGUGACUCGAGUCCGGUAGGGGAGUGUGGAAUUCCCGGUGUAGCGGUGAAAUGCGCAGAUAUCGGGAGGAACACCAGUAGCGAAGGCGGCAUCCUGGACCGGUAUUGACGCUGAGGCACGAAAGCGUGGGGAGCAAACAGG